Molecule: ribosomal RNA, 449 nt
Filed under: uncultured bacterium
Lineage: Bacteria
Description: partial 16S ribosomal RNA
Rfam family: Bacterial small subunit ribosomal RNA
Source: RNAcentral
AACGAACGCUGGCGGCAUGCCUAACACAUGCGAGUCGAACGAGAUCUUCGGGUUUAGUGGCGCACGGGUGCGUAACGCGUGGGAACCUGCCCUUUGGUUCGGAAUAACAGUUGGACACGACUGCUAAUACCGGAUGAUGACGAAAGUCCAAAGAUUUAUCGUCCGAGGAUGAGCCCGCGUAGGAUUAGCUAGUUGGUGUGGUACAGGCGCACCAAGGCGACGAUCCUUGGCUUGUCUGUGAGGAUGAUCAGCCACACUGGGACGGAGACACGUCCCAGACUCCUACAGUAGGCGGCAGUGUAGAAGAUUAGACAACUGGCUAGAUCCUGAUCCAUCAAUGCCGCGUGUGUGAUGAAGGCCUUAAGGUUGUAAAGCUCUUUUACCCUGGAUGAUAAUGUCAGUACCGGGAGAAGAAGCUCCGGCUAACUCCGUGCCAGCCGCCGCGGUAA